RNAcentral lists this ribosomal RNA (282 nucleotides) under Conticribra weissflogii. RNAcentral describes it as "partial Bacterial large subunit ribosomal RNA". It matches the Rfam family "Bacterial large subunit ribosomal RNA", at positions 1309 to 1698 of the family's 2925-position model. The record is from RNAcentral. Lineage: Eukaryota; Bacillariophyta; Thalassiosirophyceae; Thalassiosirales; Thalassiosiraceae.
GCGACAAAGAGUGUGAGAGACACUCUCGCCGAAAGUCCAAGGGUUCCUGCUUAAAGCUAAUCUGAGCAGGGUAAGCCGGCCCCUAAGGCGAGGCCGAAAGGCGUAGUCGAUGGGAACCAGGUUAAUAUUCCUGGGCCAGGAGGAUGUGACGGAUUGUGGCGGCGUGCGUGCCUUAUCGGAUUGGCGCGUAUCCAAGACAGUCCCAGGAAAUAGCCCUCCAUGAGAUCGUACCCUAAACCGACACAGGUGGACUGGUAGAGAAUACCAAGGCGCUUGAGAGAA